CAAAUCUUAAAAUAAGCUUUAAUAUAGUGUAUGCCAUAAAAACAUGAAAAAUGGCAAAAAAGAAAAUGUGUUAUUAUUUUAUUUUAUUUUUUAAAAUAUAUAAAUACAACCGAUAGGAAGUCAUAAAAUGUAGACUGUUCGGUGGGUCAAUACGCAGGGCUACUCAAAAAUACCACAGACAAUGGUUUGAAACGAAAACGUAGGGGUUUUUCUUACGGAUUCGCACAACCGACAGAUUGUGUAUUUGCGCUAUUAAUGAAAUUACAAAAUAAACCAUUACGUUGUUAUAUACAUAAUAGCCAUGAAUGGCAUCGAAAAUCGCAAAAUAGCGCCAAAAAUCUAAAAUGCCUACUUCGGAUAUGUGAAAAAUCGUCAUAGAAAAAAACGCAUUCGGAGUCAUCGGUGCAUAAAACAAACGUAUAAAAAGCUCGCUGCGCUAUUUUUAUCCGUAUCCCACAUAAUGAUUAGCGAUUGCCAUAAAAUCCGAUGCCCGAUUAGUGAGUCCUUGAUACCGCUGAUAUAAAUCCCGAUAAAUCAUAUAUUAUUGUUUUGAAUUUAUGUUUCUGCGUAGAAAUACACGCGAAUCGACUAAAACCGCGGAUUAAAUCGUUGCUACUGCGUUUUAACAGUAUAAUUGAUGUAAAGAAAACAAAACG
Molecule: non-coding RNA, 656 nt
Organism: Cinara cedri
Lineage: Eukaryota; Metazoa; Arthropoda; Insecta; Hemiptera; Aphididae
Source: the annotation of a GenBank genome assembly